GUUUUUUUGUGUCUUCUUCCUUUUUUCUGAAUUCUUCUUUUUUUUAAACUAAAAUUGUAUUGUAAAUCAAAUUGUGGAAACUAAAUAAUCCUAAAUUUUUUACAGAAUAGUAACUUCUAGAUUCUCCUAUAAUCAACCGAGUUACAUGCCACUAGUAUACACAAUGAUCAAAUGAAGGCUUGAAAGAACGGGGAUACGGUAUAAUGUGGGGACGGAAAAGGCUGUUUGGCUAUAAAUUUUGUAAUCCUACGAGGAAAUAGGGACGUGAUGGAUGUUUUUUGUGGAGCUUUUCUA
Molecule: long non-coding RNA, 294 nt
Filed under: Linum usitatissimum (flax)
Lineage: Eukaryota; Viridiplantae; Streptophyta; Magnoliopsida; Malpighiales; Linaceae
Description: long non-coding RNA (LUSI_LNC002696)
Source: RNAcentral